This is a small nucleolar RNA of Ornithorhynchus anatinus (platypus), 138 nucleotides long. Lineage: Eukaryota; Metazoa; Chordata; Mammalia; Monotremata; Ornithorhynchidae. The record is from RefSeq and is a predicted model, not a curated record.
CUCCUCUCAGGAUCGCACCUGGAGAGCCUCCAGUACUCUACCAGUCUCGGCUGCGGGAGGGAGAGUCAAGCAGAGGCAAAUCCAUUCCAUUCCUAGGUUGGGCUGAGGCUAGAGAGUGGAAGGCAGUUUGCUACAAGU